GACGGAGGAUGCAAGCGUUAUCCGGAAUGAUUGGGCGUAAAGCGUCCGCAGGUGGCAGUUCAAGUCUGCUGUCAAAGACCGGGGCUCAACCUCGGAAAGGCAGUGGAAACUGAACAGCUAGAGUAUGGUAGGGGCAGAGGGAAUUCCUGGUGUAGCGGUGAAAUGCGUAGAUAUUGGAAAGAACACCAAUGGCGAAGGCAGUCUACUGGGCCAUUACUGACACUAAGAGACGAAAGCUAGGGGAGCAAAUGGG
Molecule: ribosomal RNA, 253 nt
Filed under: uncultured bacterium
Lineage: Bacteria
Description: partial 16S ribosomal RNA
Rfam family: Bacterial small subunit ribosomal RNA
Source: RNAcentral